GUGCUGUAAUACAUCACUAGUUUUCCUGAAUGGCAAAGGUAAGGAAGAAGAAGCAAGUGAUAUGAAUUGCCAUAGCAUCUAUUCCAUUCGCUACUGCCUUUCCAGUCUGGAACUUAGUUCCUCAUGGAAGUGAUUACAAGCAACUGCUUGUCAGCAAAGUGAAUCCUCAUCGCUACUACCUCUUUACAUUUCUUAUAAUUUUUAAUGACAUACUAUGUUCUUACUGACCAUGUAUAAACUUGUGUAAUUUUGUCCAAGAGUGUUCUAACCCAUUCAAUCACUCACAGGCUCCAAACUGUUAAGACAUCUACUGCAUCUCCUGUUUGACCUGGAGUAGAGAUGCAAUUGAUGAUACGCAGAAUGAAUGAGUGAUCUCUGUCUGUGUUUUCAUGUAGAUUUUGAAAAGAACAGGCAAGAGGACCAACUCGAGUCACCUUGCUUUGAAAUGCCCAAGGACUCACACUGUUUUCAACUGGUAUUGAUGGAAUCUCCCAGUCAAGAAGGAGAGGAUCUAUUGUAGAGCAAUCGUCCCAGUCUCCAACGCUCACAGGGAUACUAUACAUGUUUAAUCAGAUGGCAAAAUAUUUUAUUCAUAUGACCAUAUAAUCACCCUGGAAAACUUAUAAAGUGUUUUAACUUGCAAGUUAUUUCCAUCGGAAUGGGCAUUUAAGUAACCUUAAUUGUCUCAGUCCAGCAAUGGAGAACUACAUGUAGGAACAGAUGCUAAGCCUGUGCAAGAGAUACAGUUUCAAACUGCGAUGUACAUCCACGUUUCCCUGCUGAACCACUUGUAUGUAACUAUUGAUGUG
Candoia aspera is the source of this 809-nucleotide long non-coding RNA. RefSeq lists it as uncharacterized. Lineage: Eukaryota; Metazoa; Chordata; Lepidosauria; Squamata; Candoiidae. The record is from RefSeq and is a predicted model, not a curated record. The transcript has 3 exons.